Long non-coding RNA from Aphis gossypii (cotton aphid), 436 nucleotides. RefSeq lists it as uncharacterized. NCBI's taxonomy places the organism in Eukaryota, Metazoa, Arthropoda, Insecta, Hemiptera, Aphididae. The record is from RefSeq and is a predicted model, not a curated record. The transcript is spliced from 3 exons.
AACACGUCCAAUAGUGUUAAUUUAUACGAUCCUUAUUUUUUCAUGCAUUUCAUUACAUCAGUCCAUCAAUGAUUUUUAAUAAAUGUAUGUAUUGGUUAUUUUCGAAACGUAGAAUUAAAGAAAAAAAUACUACCCACGCCCAUUCAUUCAGCCGUGCUUAAUACUAUACACACACGCAGACUGCAGGCCUUUUAAAUUUAAUGGAAACGCCACCAUGUCUUUUAAAAUCGUGGUCUCGCAUUAAUGUCCGUCUUUAGUAAUUGAAAUUAAUAGACGUAUAAACAUGUUUUAGUUUACUGUGAUAUAUUAUUUUCAACGAGAUAUAACUACUUUAAUAUUCGAUUAUUACGCGGAAAUAUAUUGACUGUUAAAAUGACGUUCGGUAGUGGUGUGUUCUUACGGCGGUAAACUCACUGUUCGGUUUAUAAUAUUACAC